Molecule: non-coding RNA, 4962 nt
Filed under: Pan troglodytes (chimpanzee)
Lineage: Eukaryota; Metazoa; Chordata; Mammalia; Primates; Hominidae
Source: RNAcentral
GAAAAAGGAUGUAUGUUCCCUGCCUCUGAAGAAACAGGUACAAUCUUGCAUAAAAUUGCUUGUUAACAUUGAUCUGUGCGUGGAAUCAGUUUGUGUUGCAGGGAAAUGAAGCGUCCUACACGCCUGUGAUCAAAAUGAAUUUCAUCAUCUCAACCUUCUUUUUUUUUUUAAUGAUAGCAAGACAGUGUCUGGCAGACAAAGGAACUGGUUGGGAGCUGAAAAUAGGUAAUGGUAGCAGCAGGGAUUUUUAAUUGGCUGGAAGAGACGGCGAAGAUCUGGAAGGUGAAGCCCUAGCUCGUGCUCCUGGCUGAGACUAAGCCCAGGUUUCAGGAUUAGGAAGGAAAGCUAAACCACCUAUUGCCACGGAAUGUAGAAACCCUGGCUUUAUUUGGCAGUUGUUGGCUUCUACAAUUCAAUUAAAAAGAUCCCCAUCCUCCAGAGAGUUAUUUUGUUCGUCAGAAUUCAUAACACGCUCAACAAAGGUCAAGGCGUUUUGGCAAAGUGCGACGCGGCUAAGAAAAUAGAAGAGAAGGAAGCUGAUGCAGGACCUGCCAGUGUUCCUGGUGAUGUCAUGAGGAUGAAGAAACUCUCUUUUGAGGGGGCCUGGGUAGGGCUGGCUGCCACUCACACCUUGAGACUCAGGUACCAAAAGAACUAAGUUCAAACUACCCUUACAAUUUAGAAGCCCUGAGCUGAUUUUUCUUUUGCUGGGCUCGGCAGCAUCCCUGUUUGCUGGUGGGUCUCAAACUGAGUGAUGCAUUGGAAUUGCCUGGCGGGUUUAUUAGUGCACGGAUUGCUGGGCCCCGAGCCGCAGAGUCUCAUUCAGUGGGCCUGGAGCAGGAACUGAGAGUUUGCAUUGCUAACAAGCUUCCAGGUGAAGCUGACGCUGCUGGUCCAGGGACCACCUUUUGGAAGCACUGCUCUAUGCCAAUAACAGUGGGUGGAUUAAGAAAAGGCCGUGGAGCUGUUACUUCAAGUCAUGGAGCCUCUUGGUGGCUCAUUUCCUCACCUUGAGAAUGGAGACAACACUGAGAACAUCUACUGGGCAGGGCUGUUAUGAGUGUUAAAGGAGGCAGUGGGUGUGAAGUUCCUGGUAUACAACAGGGCUUAAUACAUGAUCAUUUUCAUUAGGUGUGGGCUGACCCUCCUGUCAGUGGACAGGGCCCCUCCCUGCCCCACCGACUAAUUCUGCCUGGAAUUGUAUCAUUAGACAGCCAUCCGUCGGCCCUUUAAGAUAUACAUGCACCAGAGAGAGGAAGCUAAAUCUGGCUCAGACCUCUUGAGACUUACGAAUCAGUUUCUCAGCUGCGCUUUCUUCCCAAAUUGAGAGGAUCGGGGCAUAGCAAAUAACGCCAAGGCCUGACAGUUGGGAAGCACACCCUUCCCCUCUCAGAGGCUUUCUCAUCGGCUCUUCCUCAUCGGCUGCUUCUUGGGAGAGUGCUGUGGUUUGGGCUGUUUUAGUCUCCAAGGGGAUGGGUGAUUUAUAUCCUUUUAUUCGGCAAACAGCUUUGUACAGAAUGAAUGCCACUGCUAAAUGUCACCAGGCGGGGGCAGGGGAGCCGUAUAGAAUCCCAAUGAAGCCUUCCAGGCCUGGGCAAAAUGGCACCUGGCGACUCGGUUAGUGUGUGUGUUUUCUCCGGCGGGAGUAAGGAAGACACAGUCAGAGUGGCAGGGAAAUGCAAAGACUCCAGCGCCCCCCUCCCCUGCUAGUGCCUGCCACUUUCUGCUUCUCCAUCUUCUCCCUGCCCUUUGCAGGACAGGGCCCUCUCCACCUCGGAGAGAAGCAAGGCAGUCAGUGACCUAUGGACUUCAGGGAGGGGCUCCUUUCUGUGGCGCUGAGUCAGCAUGCCAGGCCUGCAGGGCUACACAAUCAAGCAUGAGGGAUUGCGGGUUUCACCAGGGCAUAUCAGGGCUUAGCUCUGCACUCAACCUUGCCCAAGCCGGGGUUCCGGCUGGAGGCCCCUUGCUCUUCUCACUCUCUUUCCAUGCUCCUGCUUCUCACCUCUCCCCAUCCACACCUGGGUCUGUACGUUCCCUGAGACUGUGAGCCAUGCCUCUUCACACACACACACACACACACACACACACACACACACACGGGUGCCCAGUGUGGCCCCAUUCUCAACACACAAUAAAUAAGUGCUCAAUGUUUGUUGAAUGAAUAACAAAUGGCCAACUCAUUCCCCCAUGAACCCUGGCAUCCCAGCACUGCCCUGCAUGAACCCUGGCACCCCAGCACUGCCCUGCAUGAACCCUGGCACCCCAGCACUGCCCUGCAUGAACCCUGGCACCCCAGCACGGCCCUGCAUGAACCCUGGCACCCCAGCACUGCCCUGCAUGAACCCUGGCACCCCAGCACUGCCCUGCAUGAACCCUGGCACCCCAGCACUGCCCUGCAUGAACCCUGGCACCCCAGCACGGCCCUGGGGCCUGUGGGCUGCUCUGGCAGGAUGACAAAUCAUGCCCCAGUGUUUAGGGCAGUGCUACCAAUGCACUAAGAGAUGGGAAAGGCGGUAGAUUCUCAGGACUUGGAGAAACUUUUGCAAUCACAUUGCCCAGCCCUCUCAUUUUACAGAUGAGGACACCGAGGCCCAGAGAGGUGUCUUGCCAAAGCCACACAGCACAGAGGAGCAGAGCCCGGGUCCAGCUAUUUCUCCUAUCUCACCACGCUGCCUCUUCUCACUGGAAGAGUGUACCAAGGCGGGAGUCUGGCCCCUACCCAUCCCAAGCCUGAUCCCUGCCUAAGAGCGUCUCCACCAGCAGCUCCAGGAGGGAUGAUAAAUUGUCAAAAGCCACCAAGAGUCAGGGACAGGAACUCAGUUCUGCCCAGCUGAGGGCUGUGCAGGGAUUUCAAGGUACCUGUGCGGACCCCAGCCCUCACUCAUUGAACUCAGUCAGAAAACCACCACGUCAGUGGAUUUAGAAAUGUGACAGGGAUUUCAGAGGGCAAUGGGUCCAGCCCUCACAACCCAGCACCACUCUGCAGGCAUGGAAACGCAGGCCCAGAGGACAGGGGCUUCUCAACAUGGGCACACAGCACCAAGACGGCUCCAUAAAUAGAAGCGAAAUCUCCAAGCUCCCACUCCAGGGAAGCUGACCACUGGGUGGGUGACUCCCCCAGCGUCCAAACCCUCUCUGGCAGUCCCUUGCUGCGCCAGGAGCGAGGAUGAAAGGGAGAGCUCUUCCCAGGGCCUCCGGGGAGACACUUCUGCUGACUGUCCCCAAGGAGAAAGAGGGGAGAGAAAUGAGGGAGGGUCCCUGAAGAAUGGAGACCUUCAAGAAAGAGGCCAACCUAGGGGACCAGUGGAAGCCAGAAAGAGCACGGGGGCAUGGCAGGGGCUGGAGCCGAUGUCCCAGGGAAGGAGUAGCUGCAAGGCCCCUCAGCCUCAGAGGAGCGCCAGCCCCGCCCUGCCAUUCUGGACAAGGCGUGAGUGUGAAGAGACUCUUGCCUGUCCACACUAUCAAGGCUGAGCGGGGGCAAAGGCAGCCCCCUGGGGGUCCCCACCCUGCUACUGGACUUUAAAACCAUUUUCUCUGGUUUUAAAGAAACAAUUUUUCUUUGGUCAUGAUUUUGUUGGUAGAUUUAUCUUUAUGGAAUUGUAGUAUUUUCUUGCUCUAAAACCCUCAGUUUAACCCCUUCUUUUUUCUGUCUCACAUUUUUGCCUCCAGCGAUAUGAAAAUGAACCUUGGAGAAUGGGAGGGUCCUGGGGGAGGGGGGCUGAGGGGCUCUUCACCAGGCAGAGAUGAACCCCAGUGCUGACACAAGCCCUUUCCUUUUCCUGGUUUCUCUUGCCCUGGAGAGUGACAGGCAGAAAGGGCUUUUUGUCUCUUUGGACCAUUUCUGUAUCCCUGCUGCCUCAAACGAAGCCUGGCCUGGGGCGAACUCAAUCAAUGACUCUUGACGGGAGACAGGGCUCCGGCCCACUGGGGUGAUGGGCUAAAGAGGGGAUUCUGGUUCCUGUGGACAAUCUGGAAGCUGUUAGAACUGGAGCGAGGAUUUCACCAAGGAGCUCAGAGAGAACCCGGGCAGGAACUCUCCAAUCAUCUGGCGGCUGAGGCCCUUUCGCUGGAGGAGGAAAUGGGCCACACCGAUGGGGGUGUCAGGGAUGAAGCCGCGUGAGAUCAGGAACUGGAUGCCCUUGUCCGGGUUUCUGGAGGUGGGGGUGGGGAGAAGCAGUAGAGAGUGAGCUGAAGCCAUCCAUGACCCUUUCCUGCCUGUCUUCCACCCAUAGAAGUACCCAGAGGUUCUUGGAAAUCCAGUUCCCCAUUGAAGCUUCUCUCACCAGAGCCUCAACCCACUGAAUGUCCUCACGCAGAGGAUGGUGUGUGACCAGAAGGAGGACAGGGGAGAUCUGCAAACAAAGUCCCCACCGCAGACGCCCCAACCCUGGAGAGAGGGUGGGAGAAACCGAGGUGAGACCUCCGCCACACCACCUCUUCCCUUUACAAGCUUUGAAGCCAUGCUGCUCCCUGAGCUGUUUCUCACAGGUCCGGGAGGAGAUAAGUACAGAAACACAAGGUCUGCCGAGUACUAGCUAUUUCAUCGUGUGCAUUUCGCCUUACUGGUGUGAGCCGGCUUCUUUUCUGUAAAACAGCAUGGUAAUACCUCUGUGUAGAUACUGCUGGAAGAUUACAGAUGCUUUAUGUAAGCCCUCCCGUCUCCUGCUCUCAGCCGGCAUUCUUUACGAGGCGCCUCUCCUCCCUCCCCCACCCAGCCUCGCAUUUCACCAACCCUGGGAGCUAAUGCGUUUUCCCUGGCUUCAUAUCCACCCGAAUGAUUGCUGCGUAAUCCUCAAACGGCCUGGACUGUUAUUUACUUAAUACUGUCUUUUCUUUUACAUUCUCUUACUUUUCAAACCCUAGCUUCAUCUUAAGCUGUAACAGUUGUGAAAGCAUGUGUUUGAUGUGUUAUUUUUUUCCUUUAAUCUUUCUUAAAAUAAACUCAGGAUGAUUAAAAUAAAA